This 492-nucleotide ribosomal RNA is filed under the name uncultured bacterium. RNAcentral's name for it is "partial 16S ribosomal RNA". It matches the Rfam family "Bacterial small subunit ribosomal RNA", at positions 29 to 507 of the family's 1533-position model. The record is from RNAcentral.
AGUGAACGCUGGCGGUAGGCCUAACACAUGCAAGUCGAACGGCAGCACAGUAAGAGCUUGCUCUUACGGGUGGCGAGUGGCGGACGGGUGAGGAAUACAUCGGAAUCUACUUUUUCGUGGGGGAUAACGUAGGGAAACUUACGCUAAUACCGCAUACGACCUACGGGUGAAAGCAGGGGAUCUUCGGACCUUGCGCGAUUGAAUGAGCCGAUGUCGGAUUAGCUAGUUGGCGGGGUAAAGGCCCACCAAGGCGACGAUCCGCAGCUGGUCUGAGAGGAUGAUCAGCCACACUGGAACUGAGACACGGUCCAGACUCCUACGGGAGGCAGCAGUGGGGAAUAUUGGACAAUGGGCGCAAGCCUAAUCCAGCCAUACCGCGUGGGUGAAGAAGGCCUUCGGGUUGUAAAGCCCUUUUGUUGGGAAAGAAAAGCAGCAGGUUAAUACCCCGCUGUUCUGACGGUACCCAAAGAAUAAGCACCGGCUAACUUCGUG